Molecule: ribosomal RNA, 395 nt
Filed under: uncultured bacterium
Lineage: Bacteria
Description: bacterial SSU rRNA
Rfam family: Bacterial small subunit ribosomal RNA
Source: RNAcentral
GACGAACGCUGGCGGCGUGCUUAACACAUGCAAGUCGAGCGGUAAGGCCCUUUCGGGGGUACACGAGCGGCGAACGGGUGAGUAACACGUGGGUGACCUGCCCUCAGCUCUGGGAUAAGCCUGGGAAACUGGGUCUAAUACUGGAUAUGACUCCACGGUGCAUGUCGUGGGGUGGAAAGCCUUGUGCGGCUGAGGAUGGGCCCGCGGCCUAUCAGCUUGUUGGUGGGGUGANGGCCUACCAAGGCGACGACGGGUAGCCGGCCUGAGAGGGCGACCGGCCACACUGGGACUGAGACACGGCCCAGACUCCUACGGGAGGCAGCAGUGGGGAAUCUUGCGCAAUGGGCGAAAGCCUGACGCGGCGACGCCGCGUGAGGGAUGACGGCCUGGUGUAA